CAGUAGCCGCGGGAACACGUAGGGCGCAAGCGUUAAUCGGAAUUACUGGGCGUAAAGCGUGCGCAGGCGGCUAUGCAAGACAGAUGUGAAAUCCCCGGGCUCAACCUGGGAACUGCAUUUGUGACUGCAUGGCUAGAGUACGGUAGAGGGGGAUGGAAUUCCGCGUGUAGCAGUGAAAUGCGUAGAUAUGCGGAGGAACACCGAUGGCGAAGGCAAUCCCCUGGACCUGUACUGACGCUCAUGCACGAAAGCGUGGGGAGCAAACAGGAUUAGAUACCCCAGUAGUCCCUGUCUCUUAUAC
This 301-nucleotide ribosomal RNA is filed under the name uncultured bacterium. RNAcentral describes it as "partial 16S ribosomal RNA". It matches the Rfam family "Bacterial small subunit ribosomal RNA", at positions 509 to 807 of the family's 1533-position model. The record is from RNAcentral.